Non-coding RNA from Ceratotherium simum simum (southern white rhinoceros), 227 nucleotides. The record is from RefSeq and is a predicted model, not a curated record. Lineage: Eukaryota; Metazoa; Chordata; Mammalia; Perissodactyla; Rhinocerotidae.
UCAGAGAAACCUAUACGGAGAUGUGAUGCUGGAGAACUACAAGAACCUGACUACAGUAUGGUAUUAGUGUUCGAACCCAAUCUGAUUUCUUGGUUGGAACAAGAAGAAAAGUUGAGGACAGUGGAGAGAGGAGUCUUCCAAAAAUGGGAAAUGCAACUUAAAACCAAAGACUCAGCAAUUCCUCUGCAGGGUAUUUUAGGGGAAAAAACAUCCAAUAGGAUAGAAAU